Non-coding RNA from Phoenix dactylifera (date palm), 118 nucleotides. NCBI's taxonomy places the organism in Eukaryota, Viridiplantae, Streptophyta, Magnoliopsida, Arecales, Arecaceae. The record is from RefSeq and is a predicted model, not a curated record.
UGAAAAUGAAAAAGGGGCAACAAAGAAGGAAACUAAGGAAGUACUGAAGCUAGCUGAUGACAGGAAGGUUGGAAAACGCAAGGCUGCUAUUAAGGCAGAUAAGAGUAGCAAAAGACAG